GUGAACUCCGUGACAACAGCGGUGGAAAUGCGAUAGUUCCAAUCGUUAAUAGGAAGGUAUGUGGUUUAAUGGACCGUAGGCAGUCCUUUAAGUCAGCAGUGCAAGUUAUUAGAUUAACUAGAAAAGUGGCAUUGAUACUGUAAGGAGAGAAUGUAUGUGAAUUAACUAGCAUAUGUAGAGUAGCGGAGAAAUGUUUAGAUAUGACAGGGAAUACCAAUUGCGAAGGCAGGUUACUAACAAAUGAUUGACGCAGAUGGACGAAAGCGUGGGUAGCGAACAGGAUUAGAUACCCGUGUAGUC
Molecule: ribosomal RNA, 300 nt
Filed under: uncultured Campylobacter sp.
Lineage: Bacteria; Pseudomonadati; Campylobacterota; Epsilonproteobacteria; Campylobacterales; Campylobacteraceae
Description: bacterial SSU rRNA
Rfam family: Bacterial small subunit ribosomal RNA
Source: RNAcentral